UGGAGAGAAAUCACACUACCAUCAAAGACAACGGGUCAAAAAGAAUGCCGUCCUAAGCUGAGAAGCCAUCUUCCUAACGACAGCCAUGUAAUAUGAAAGGGAAAAACACACUGUUAUUGAAGAACUUAUCAGCUAUGUCACAUCUUCCACACAAAUACUCAGGAAAGUUAAAAGAAAAUUUUACCUCGGACACAGUUGAUGUACCUCAGUCUUGUACAAAACUUAGAACUCACUAAGUCUGAAAUAAGACUUUAAACUCUCUCUGAGGUGAAGUUGUAAUACAGUGAGAAUGAUAAUAUAUAGUAUAUUAGGAUUUACUUACUCCUGUGUUGUUCUGGACUAUAGACUGCCACACAUAUCAGAUGCACAUGACUGACAUGUAUAUCUUCAUUUUGCUAUUAUUUGUGGUGAACUAAUACAGGAUUUACUGUAAAAGUAUAAUAAUGCAGUAGCAAUAUACUAAUAAAUCAAUGCAGUUAAUAUACAA
This 487-nucleotide unclassified non-coding RNA is filed under the name Homo sapiens (human). RNAcentral describes it as "long intergenic non-protein coding RNA 2109 (ENSG00000274882.4)". Lineage: Eukaryota; Metazoa; Chordata; Mammalia; Primates; Hominidae. The record is from RNAcentral.